UACGUAGGGGGCAAGCGUUAUCCGGAUUUACUGGGUGUAAAGGGAGCGUAGACGGUGAUGCAAGUCAGAAGUGAAAGCCCGGGGCUCAACUCCGGGACUGCUUUUGAAACUGUGUAACUGGAGUGCAGGAGAGGUAAGCGGAAUUCCUGGUGUAGCGGUGAAAUGCGUAGAUAUCAGGAGGAACACCAGUGGCGAAGGCGGCUUACUGGACUGUAACUGACGUUGAGGCUCGAAGGCGUGGGGAGCAAACAGG
RNAcentral lists this ribosomal RNA (253 nucleotides) under uncultured bacterium. RNAcentral describes it as "partial 16S ribosomal RNA". It matches the Rfam family "Bacterial small subunit ribosomal RNA", at positions 524 to 776 of the family's 1533-position model. The record is from RNAcentral.